This is a long non-coding RNA of Felis catus (domestic cat), 6681 nucleotides long. RefSeq lists it as uncharacterized. The transcript is spliced from 5 exons. NCBI's taxonomy places the organism in Eukaryota, Metazoa, Chordata, Mammalia, Carnivora, Felidae. The record is from RefSeq and is a predicted model, not a curated record.
CGGGCGUUUGUUCAUCGCCUCACCUGGGUUUUUAACCCUUCGCCCCCCCGCCCCUUGGUUUUGAGAGGUUUCUCUCCUCGAGCUGUUUUGGGUCAGGCAGUCUAACAAUAGGAGUGGCUCCCGGCCUACACGUCUCAGAGCUCCCAGGGCGCUGGACGGAAAAGCUUUGGACAUUAGCACUUCUACCUAAAUAAGUUAGUAGGCUUCUGAACCAGAGGACAUCUGCUAAGGACAGAGAGAACCCAUCUGUUCGAAACCCUGCGCCUUUAGAAACAGCAAGUUCCCAAGAUACAGAGAAACCUACCACGGUAGUCUCUUAAAUAAGUAAAUAAACAGCAUAUAUAUGUUUUGUUUUGUUUUUUUAAACUUCAAAGCAAAAGUUAUACAUAUAUAACAGCGUCCUUUCGACGUGAAAUACCCACGGGAGAUUCAGGACAGGCGCUCAGCGUGCAGUUCGGGUUCCGGAGGCAUCUCUGCAGUAAAAUUCUUGGGAAAAAGCAAAGCAAGGAGAACGUGGCGCUGGGUUGAGCCUCACCGCGGGCCCCUUUGAUAGCGGCCGGAGGGCGCCAGUGGAGCCAGGCCGGCCGCCGGGCGGAAACGCGCAACCCGAGCCCGCGGGUCCCUGGCCACCUGGUUUCGGAAGCGCUGGGUUUGCGUGGUCUCUCAUCCUCCCUUCCUAUUCCAUUUUGUGUUGUUUUAAUAGUGGAUUCUGUUUCCGAGUGUGCUGGAUGGGCAGCUCAGAUGUCGCACUCGCUGUCGCUGGACGUGAUGGAGAUGGCCGAAGUGGCGGCCUUGCUGGAUAGGCUGGCGGCCGGGCUGGCUGCGGCGCCCAGCACCUCGGGCGUGCCCUCUUCCUCAGCCCUUAGAGCCCGCCCGGAGCCCUGCGACAUGACCUGCUGCUGGAGUCUAUGGGAAGGAAAGGGACACCAGUCACAGCGCGUAACAUAGCCUCCCCUUGCGCCCCCCUGCCCCCCCCUCCCCCGCUUUGCUUCCCUUAAGCCCAGAGGCUAGCGGAUCUCCCACAGACCCCGGCAGUUAAAGUAGGAAAAGUGAGGCAACGGAAGCCAGGAAGGAUUCCACAGCUGGCCGCCUCUCCAAGUAGCCCAGCAGUUGUCCCAUCCUUCUUCUGAAUCCUUUCUGGGCUCCCCAUCUGAGAUGCUGGGCUCACAGCCUUGGUUUUAUGACUGGAACCAGCGGCUGGGGCGACCCCCUAAGUUCCAAGAAUGAGGGAGAGAAUGGAGAACCAAGAGCCCGGAAGGAACUCCCCCCGCCCCCCGCCCCCCUUACCCGCCCAGGAUCCCAGAACGCAGUGGGCUCAUAACUGAAGACAGACUGAGCUCUCAACUCCUUCGGAUCCAAGUCGCUGGGCCCUGGGAAAGGGCCCCUGGGGCGCCUUCGCCCGACCCACCAGAGUGAGCGCAAGGAGCGUAGGCCUCUAGGUACCGACCUGUUCUUGGCUGCAGCCGCCCGGUCCCUUUGUCGGCGGUUUUUGAACCAGUUGCCCACCUGCGUAGGGGUCAGUCCGGUUGCCUGGGCGAGCUCACGCUUUUUGCUGGGGUUAGGGUAUGGGUCCUGCAGAUACCAUUCCCGUAGCAGAUGCCUCGUGCGCUCCUUGAAGCAGUGUGUCUUCUGUUCGCCGUCCCAAAUGGUGCGCGGCAGCGGGAACUUCUUCCUCACGCGGUACUUGUCCACCGGCCCCAGGGGCCGUCCACGCAGCUUCUCAGCCUCCUGGUAAUGCGCUUCGAGCCACAGCGCCUGCAGCUUGGCGUGCGACUCCUUGGUGAACUUGUGGUUUUCCAGGAUAUGAUAGAGCUCGCGGUAGUUGCCGCCGUGAAAGGCCACGAUGGCUCGCGCGCGCAGCACCGAUUCAUUCUUGUUGAGGGCCUCACAGGCCGCAGGGGCCACGGGCAGCGACCAGAGGAAGCGACCCAGGCGCUCUACGUCGCCGCUCUCCUCCAGAGUCUCGCAUACCCCGGCCACUUGCUGGGGACUGAAAUUCAAGAUGGGCAACUGGAACAUCGAGGCAGCGCCGACUGCAGCGGGGGCGCGGAGAGCGGAACCGGACACGCAGCAGAUGUCGGCGGGCCUGGCGGGGUGCGCCAGGCUCUCCUCGGUGAAGCGGCUUAGGGCAGCCGGGACGCACGACCCGGGCAGCGCGGCGGCGCAACGGCUGGGAGCGAGCGAGCAGGAGGGAUUGGAGGAGGUGCCGGCCCCGCCGCCCGGGUUCGGCUCGGCUCCGUUAGGGCACGCAGGCCGGCGAACUGGCGCCGCUACUGGAAUGGGCGGAUUGGCGGCGCGGGCGCCAUGGAGACCCCCUGUCAGUCACUGGCUCUCUCUGCCAAUCAAGACUGCGACCAGCGCGCCCGGGUCAUUUCAGCACCUCCCCGCUCUCGACAGCGCCCGCCGUUUACCCGUGGACUUUUCCUCAGUAUUUUGCAGAAUCUGGAGGAGGAAAACACUGGAGAGUGGCUGGGAGAAAGGGGAAGGCAAGAACAGCAGCCUUUCAAUACCCUCAUCCAGCCUUGUUCCUCCACCCCCGCCCCCACCCUUGCCAAAAGAGGCAGUGGUGCUACAGGAAUCCACUUUGGAGUGAUGCGCUGCCUGGGUCAAGAGGUCUCCAGAGGACAAUGAGGACUGGGCCAAAUCGAAAUCCUCCAAGAAUUCGCCAAGUUUAAUUCUGCAAAGCAGCCGAGUGGGAAGCGAAUCUGAAGCAGAAGGAACGGGACCAGGGAUCUGUUAAGAGGUCAGUUUGGGCUAUCCCCACCAUCUUCAAAAGCCUCCUGAAAUCAUUUUAAAUACGAGCUAGAACAACUGCCACACCUGAUAACACAGGUGUUGACCAUGAAGUCAAACACUCAAGAAAGGGAGUUGCACCUCCCCAAAAGUUUAUACUUUUCAGCAGUAACCCCCCUCCCCAGUUUAAUGGACUUCAACAAAUGUGCAGCCUAGCCACAUCUAGAGUGAGAAGUCACGGGUAGGUCAGGACAGCAACUUAAAAGCUUAUUUCAAAGAUCUUUUUUAAAAAAUAUUGAUUUGCUCUUCUUGCAGGCUGAUUUUGCCCUACCCUGUGUUAGAACAUUUAACUCGAGCUGAGCUGGGAAUAGAAACUGUAACCUUGGCCUUUUUGCCCCAGAGGAAUUCAGUACAAGAAGAGAAAGGGGAAUCACAGAAAUGGGGGUGGUGGUGGAGCAGAAAACCCUUUCUAAGCUGCUGAGCACUGACCCCUCCUGCAGAGAGGAAGAGCCUUCUAGGCAGCUCUGCCUUAGGGCCAGCAGAUUGAAUUGGCAACUUUUAUUGAUUCCCAAUUGACAUCCACAUCAUACCAUUUUCUGAGGUCUCUGUCAAAAGAAACCAUGAUCUCACCUGGGCCUUUGAUAGGGGCUUGUUUAGUGUGAAGAAAAUAAUUGGGAGAGGGGAGUCCUUCGAAAAUGCCUGGAAAACUAUCGUUGGGUCCAUCCCUAAAGGAAUCAGAUGGGAAUAUUCACCUCCGAACUGGACUGGACCCGGCUGUCUUUUCUUUAGUAUCAAGUACAAUUUGUAUGCGGCUUGUACAGCUCUGGUAAAUCAGAAGGCAGAUAGAUAGCACAGAUGGUUGGAGGUGUCAGGUCAGAUUAUGCUACGCCUGAGUGCAGGGCAAAGCUCGUUCUGACGGAAAACCCUGAUAUUAUUUUCACAGAUCUUCACAGUUCACUCGAAAAAAAUAGCCUAGGUUGGGGGGGGGGGGGGAGGAGGAAGCCCUGCAACCAUUUACAUCAUUUCUGUGAGAUUGCUAGCCGCCUGGAUGCAGAGGCUUUCUUUUCUAAGAGUUCAUUUUCUUGAAAUGCGACAGGGCAGGGGCAAAAUACAGAGGGCGGUGAGUAUGUCAAAGCACAAAUCUUCCCUAGCUUGGGGCGAUUUCCAAAUUCGCAGAAGAAACAACUUUUAGUGGAAACAUCGAACACAAGUGCCCAAAAUACAUAGUAUAGAAAACCCGGGCCUUGGGGAUCGGGCAAGGGUGAAGCGGAAUCCAGGAAGGCGGUGGUUCCCGGCACUUCUGGCCAGGGAAGGAAAGAAUCGCCUCCCUCCAGUUUGCGGAAGUUUCUUAUUUUUCCCUCUCGGGGUGUCUCCCCUGCCGGCUCCCCUUAGCAGAAUGGCUUCACGCUCACCUUCCACGCGGAAGAAGCCGAAAGUCUGGGACACCCUACAGCCCCGAACCCAGAGAGGACCCCAACACCUGCACUUAGCCGCUGGAGGUGAGAAGUUGCCGGUACCCCCAGGGGACCUCGCCUCCCCCGCCCUUUUGCUGAACAGUUUGAAAACUGCGAAUUCGGGGGGGAAACUGGCUUCUUAUCCUUAGUUUUCUUGAGCAAGUUGUGUUAAUUUUCCAAGUCUACCCUCCCUCUCCAGGAAAUGGGAAUAUCCCGUUUCUUGGACAACGGUUCUGCAAAUAUUGGGGGAGAGGGCGCGUUGGCUUCCGUGCGUUUGGGGCUCUCGGGCAACCGGGACCAAAAUCUUAGGUUGGCUGCACUGGAACGGAGGAAAAAGGGCGCUGGCCAGGGGUUGCAAAGUCCCAGUUCCUCCAAGACUCCGUGUCUGGACGCUAGGCGUUCGGGGUAUGAGAAGUGUCUAGAGGCCGGGGUCUACAGUCAGAAGAGCCUACCUUCGCCAUCCCAGGGGAUUUGGUUUAAUUUUAUUACCUCAAACGAAUAAACUACCUCUGGGAAAGUUGGGAUCACGUAUUCAUUCAUCACAAACAGAAGAAAUACAUACUCCCCCACACAUCCCAAUCCCUGAUAAUGAAAAAAGCUCCGCCGGGUUCCUUAAAAAUAAUCCCGUUGUGGACAAGGCAGUGACCACCCCCCCCCCCCCCACCUUAAAGCGCCAGGUGAAAGUUGUACCUUAGGGUUGACUGCUUAAUUUUACGGAAAGAUAGAUUUUUACCAGUUUUGAAACUUUGCACCAACCAUCCGGGCAACCGCCUGCUUGCCACCCCCAACUUUAUUUUUCUUUUGCGUUUGACCAGGAAACCUAGAAAGCUCAGCGGCCGCCCCUGGCGUCGGGCCUAUCUGGGCAGAUUUGCAACUUUCUGUGGUUGGUUUGCAUCUAGUAGAUUUGGGAGGCCUUGGGCAGAUGCUAGGUUCUCGCUGGGAAUCCAAAGAUUCUAUUCCGCUUUCUGAAGACUCAGUUUUACUUCACAAGGGAAAAAUAUGGAGAAAAAAGCUUGUAGAAGACAAUGCCCCUGGGCAGAUUCUGUGUUUAAUUAUUCAGUGCGGCAGCAGCAGAGCAAAGUACUCACCCCGCACCACCCCCGGAGGUUGUGAGGUUCAUACCAGAGAUCUUCAGAGUUCCGUCUGGGAUUUCUUGUGCUCAUCGAUCUCACCCCUCGUUUUGCUCUUUCUGAUUUUCCUCUAGAGUAGAGACACACGUGGAGCCCCCGUUACACCUUGCUGAAUGGUUUGCCAGCUGAGAGCGCUGCUUAGAGGUCAAUACAGUCUUAUCUCUUGUUUUGUCUGUUGUCCUGUUUUGUCUUUGACUUUUUCCUAAAUCAAACACAUGUAAAAUAAGUGGUAUAUUUUCGUUUUCUUUCCUACAUAAUUUCACAUAGUCAGGGAUUUGAAGAAUGUAGUCAUUGAGGCAUCUGAAUUCCUUGAUAAAGACAUUUGUGCUGCAUGUGAGAGUCAUAGACUGAAAGACAAUGAGGUCCUAGCCUUUUGUGUAAGUUCAUUUUGACUUUUGGGGGAGAGAUCUUGGUUUCCCUUUCCUUGGCCUCAAAGCUGUGUGUUGCUGGUGGGUGAGAAUAACAUAAAAAAGGAUCUGGGAAAUGUAUCCAUGGUUUAUUUUUAAGAUCUAGAAAGUUUAAAAAAGCAUUUUACUGUCUUUGAAUUUACAGUAUUAAAUUCACUUUCAAACAUUUAUUCAUAUAUUUAGUAUUGUGAUUUUCAGAUGAUACCAUAUGCAUAAUAUAGAAAUGUUUGUUUCUGUAUUUGGUUGUCUAAAUCUUUAGAUUUUAGAAUUAAUUCAAUAUCCUACUUUUAAAGUGCUUACUGUCCUAAUAAGAUCCCAAGGUAGAUUGUGCUAUUUCAUGCAUUCUUCCCCUGCCAGUAUGCACCUUGUAACAAAGAACAGAGAUGCCUCUUUAUUGUGUAUUCUUGAGAACAAACACCAUUUAAGAACUAUUUUGUAGAUUUCCUGGCACUGUGAGAUUGACUGGCAAAAAUUAUUACAAUUCAAUAAUUUAAGAGAUUGAAGUAUAUUUGUUGUUAUUUGCAAAAUUAUUCACCAAUUAUUUUUUAAAUGACGUAAAAUUGCAUAUGUUGUCAAGUGGAGGGAAUUUGUAUAAGUUUAAAUGUGGGAAAAUGUACCAUUUGAAAGUGGUUAUUAAUUAGCAGUAAUGUGUUUUUUAAAAAAUGUUAGGCUGACUAUACAACUCUGUUUCGACUUCUAGUUUGUGGUUAAUCCUAGGCAUUUGUAUUUAAACCAAAGGGUAUAUUUCAAGGCCUAUUUCUUGUUUAAACUAUGCUCUUAAAUUCACUUUUCUCUUUCUUCUGCUUCUGUGGCAUAAGUCUAAAUCUGCAUGGGACUAACUAUACCACAGCAUAGCUUGCUUAAGACUAUAUAUCAAUGGGCUCUUGUAUGAAGGAUUAAUGCUUUAAAAUGUAACCCGCAUGUCACUAAUAAACACUUUAUUAGUAAUGAAAAUUA